Molecule: ribosomal RNA, 446 nt
Filed under: uncultured bacterium
Lineage: Bacteria
Description: partial 16S ribosomal RNA
Rfam family: Bacterial small subunit ribosomal RNA
Source: RNAcentral
AACGAACGCUAUCGGUAUGCUUAACACAUGCAAGUCGGACGGACUAAUUAUGACUUGCUCCUAUUAGGUAGUGGCAGACGGGUGAGUAACACGUGGGAAUCUGCCCAUCAGUACGGAAUAACUUUUAGAAAUAAAAGCUAAUACCGUAUAUUCUCUACAGAUGAAAGAUUUAUCGCUGAUGCAUGAGCCCGCGUCAGAUUAGGUAGUUGGUGAGGUAACGGCUCACCAAGCCGGCGAUCUGUAGCUGGUAUGAGAGGAUGAUCAGGAACACUGGGAGUGAGACAAGGCGGAGACUUCUACGGGAGGGAGCAGUGGGGAACAUUGGACACUGGGCGAAAGAAUGAUCCAGCCAUAUCGAGUGAGUGAUAAAGGCCCUAGGGUUGUAAAGCUCUUUUAGCCAGGAUGAUCAUGACGUUACCUGCAGAAAAAGACCCGGUUAACUCCGG